Molecule: unclassified non-coding RNA, 400 nt
Filed under: soil metagenome
Description: partial contains 5.8S ribosomal RNA, internal transcribed spacer 2, and large subunit ribosomal RNA
Rfam family: 5.8S ribosomal RNA (bases 1-122)
Source: RNAcentral
GAUGAAGAACGCAGCGAAAUGCGAUACUUGGUGUGAAUUGCAGAAUCCCGUGAACCAUCGAGUCUUUGAACGCAAGUUGCGCCUCAAGCCAUUAGGUUGAGGGCACGUCUGCCUGGGCGUCACAUAUCGUUGCCUGAUGCCAGUUUCCUCGUGAUGGGUGACUGUGCAGGGCGAAUGAUGGCUUCCCGUGAGCAUUGUUGCCUCAUGGUUGGUUGAAAAUUGAGUCCUUGGUAGGGAGCGCCGUGAUAGAUGGUGGUUGAGUGACAAACGAGACCCAAUCAUGUGAGACCCCUACCGAAUUUGGCCUUCAUGACCCACAUGCGUCUUUGGAACGCUCAUGACGAGACCUCAGGUCAGGCGGGGCUACCCGCUGAGUUUAAGCAUAUCAAUAAGCGGAGGA